AUGAGCACCGACUCGCGAAGGAGCAAAUCGCCGGAACGGGCAUCGUGGCGGACGUGGACGAGCAGAAGGCGCUGCUCCCGUCCUAACGCGCCGCCCGCGACAUCCGCCACGAGCGAUGGCGGCUCCGUGUCUUGCGAGCGGAGAAAGAAGCUAUGUUUGUGGAGAUUGACGCGGCGGCGGAGGAAUUUGAUGACGACACCGAGGACAAGGCCGACACGUCCACGGCCGCCACCAAUAGUGAGGAAGAGUAGAACAUGGGAGGCCGCCGGCGGUUGGGUCCCAGGAAGGCCACCACCAUCUUCUUGCCGGGCCACACAACCGGUGAGCUUGCCCACUUUGUGGAGGAGGAGGAGGCCACUAUUCUUCCCCUCGCUGAAGCUAAAACUAAACUUGGUGGGCUCAUUACCGGCUGGUGAGCUUGCCCGCUUCGCGGAGGCUAUUCUUCCCUUCCCGUUGAAGCUUCAUUUCCCGGGGCUCACGACCGUCCGGUGA
This 492-nucleotide ribosomal RNA is filed under the name Triticum aestivum (bread wheat). RNAcentral describes it as "partial small subunit ribosomal RNA". The record is from RNAcentral. Lineage: Eukaryota; Viridiplantae; Streptophyta; Magnoliopsida; Poales; Poaceae.